RNAcentral lists this ribosomal RNA (253 nucleotides) under uncultured bacterium. RNAcentral describes it as "partial 16S ribosomal RNA". It matches the Rfam family "Bacterial small subunit ribosomal RNA", at positions 524 to 776 of the family's 1533-position model. The record is from RNAcentral.
UACGUAGGGUGCGAGCGUUAAUCGGAAUUACUGGGCGUAAAGCGUGCGCAGGCGGCUUUGCAAGACAGAUGUGAAAUCCCCGGGCUCAACCUGGGAACUGCAUUUGUGACUGCAAGGCUAGAGUACGGCAGAGGGGGAUGGAAUUCCGCGUGUAGGAGUGAAAUGCGUAGAUAUGCGGAGGAACACCAAUGGCGAAGGCAAUCCCCUGGGCCUGUACUGACGCUCAUGCACGAAAGCGUGGGGAGCAAACAGG